UACGUAGGGUGCGAGCGUUGUCCGGAAUUAUUGGGCGUAAAGAGCUCGUAGGCGGCCUGUUGCGUCCGCUGUGAAAUCCCAGGGCUCAACCCUGGGCGUGCAGUGGAUACGGGCAGGCUGGAGGCAGGCAGGGGAGAACGGAAUUCCCGGUGUAGCGGUGAAAUGCGCAGAUAUCAGGAGGAACACCGGUGGUGUAGACGGCUUACUGGACCAUAACUGACGCUGAGACACGAAAGCGUGGGUAGCAAACAGG
This 253-nucleotide ribosomal RNA is filed under the name uncultured bacterium. RNAcentral describes it as "partial 16S ribosomal RNA". It matches the Rfam family "Bacterial small subunit ribosomal RNA", at positions 524 to 776 of the family's 1533-position model. The record is from RNAcentral.